GCCGAACGCUGGCGGCGUGCUUAACACAUGCAAGUCGAACGAAGUGGCGAACGGGUGAGUCACGCGUAGUCAACCUGCCCUUCAGAGGGGGAUAACAGUUGGAAUCGACUGCUAAUACCGCAUCCUGAUGGCGGGGCUUGCGUCUGAUUAGCUAGUUGGGGGGGUAACGGCCCACCAAGGCGAGGAUCAGUAGCCGGUCUGAGAGUAUGAACGGCCACAGUGGGACUGAGACACGGCCCAGACUACUACGGGAGGCAGCAGUGGGGAAUCUUCCGCAAUGGACGAAAGUCGGACGGAGCAACGCCGCGUGAAUGAUGACGGCCGUCGGGUUGUAAAGCUCUGUUAAUCGGGACGCGGUACCGGAAUAGAAAGCCACGGCUAACUACGUGCCAGCAGCCGCGGUAAUUC
RNAcentral lists this ribosomal RNA (408 nucleotides) under uncultured bacterium. RNAcentral's name for it is "partial 16S ribosomal RNA". It matches the Rfam family "Bacterial small subunit ribosomal RNA", at positions 28 to 526 of the family's 1533-position model. The record is from RNAcentral.